RNAcentral lists this long non-coding RNA (640 nucleotides) under Capsella rubella. Its description in RNAcentral is "long non-coding RNA (CRUB_LNC001720)". The record is from RNAcentral. Lineage: Eukaryota; Viridiplantae; Streptophyta; Magnoliopsida; Brassicales; Brassicaceae.
UUUGGAGUGCUCUCUUUUUGACCAAAAAAAGUAUGUGGCAAAGAAAGCGAGUACCUAAACAAAAACAUACACGAGCGUUUGUUCUUAAAGUAGAAAGAGAUAUUUAAAAUCCAGUAGCCGUCACUUUCAUUACCAUUUAAAUUAAAAAUUGAUUAUUAAUUUAUGUGAAGGACAAAAAUUGUAAAAUUAAAAUAUCUUUUUCAAAGUCUUACAAAAAAAAAAAAAAAAUCCAAAUUAGAAAUAUUUUUGGUACAACUGUCUGAAAGAGUAAAGCUCUGCACUUUUUUGCCAAGUCAGCAACAAAAAGCGUUGUCCUCUGGGUUGUUCCAAAAGUCAUACACGUGGCGUUACGUUAAGGUUAGAGAGAUAGAAGAAGAAGAAGGAUAAGAAGAUGAAUGGUUUGUAAUUGUACGCCACUCGAUUUUUUUUUUUUUUUUUUUUUUAUUACCAAAAAUUUCUUGCCCACUCGUUUUCUCGUUCGGUGUUUUAUUUAUUUAAGCUAUAGAGAGUUUAUGUUUUUUUUUUUUUCCUUCAAUAAAGUUUUACAUUAUUUAUUAUUUUUAGAUCUUACGAAUCUGAAAUAUUCUUUAGAUAAGAAAAACUUGUACCAGUAAAAUACUUGUGUAAUGGCCACUAACAA